GACGAACGCUGGCGGCGUGCUUAACACAUGCAAGUCGAACGGUAAGGCCCCUUCGGGGGUACACGAGUGGCGAACGGGUGAGUAACACGUGAGCAACCUGCCCUUGACUUUGGGAUACCAGCUGGAAACAGCUGCUAAUACCGGAUAUGACCUCUUCUCUCAUGGGUUGAGGUGGAAAGCUCCGGCGGUCAGGGAUGGGCUCGCGGCCUAUCAGCUUGUUGGUGAGGUAAUGGCUCACCAAGGCUUCGACGGGUAGCCGGCCUGAGAGGGCGACCGGCCACACUGGGACUGAGAUACGGCCCAGACUCCUACGGGAGGCAGCAGUGGGGAAUACUGCACAAUGGGCGCAAGCCUGAUGCAGCAACGCCGCGUGCGGGAUGACGGCCUUCGGGUUGUAAACCGCUUUCAGUAGGGACGAAGCUAACGUGACGGUACCUACAGAAGAAGGACCGGCUAACUACGUG
This 464-nucleotide ribosomal RNA is filed under the name uncultured bacterium. RNAcentral describes it as "partial 16S ribosomal RNA". It matches the Rfam family "Bacterial small subunit ribosomal RNA", at positions 28 to 507 of the family's 1533-position model. The record is from RNAcentral.